UACGGAGGGGGCAAGCGUUAUUCGGAAUUAUUGGGCGUAAAGGGCGCGUAGGCGGCCGCCUAAGUCAGACGUGAAAUCCCUCGGCUCAACCGGGGAACUGCGUCUGAUACUGGGUGGCUUGAAUCCGGGAGAGGGAUGCGGAAUUCCAGGUGUAGCGGUGAAAUGCGUAGAUAUCUGGAGGAACACCGGUGGCGAAGGCGGCAUCCUGGACCGGCAUUGACGCUGAGGCGCGAAAGCCAGGGGAGCAAACGGG
RNAcentral lists this ribosomal RNA (253 nucleotides) under uncultured bacterium. RNAcentral's name for it is "partial 16S ribosomal RNA". It matches the Rfam family "Bacterial small subunit ribosomal RNA", at positions 524 to 776 of the family's 1533-position model. The record is from RNAcentral.